GCUUACGGCCACACCGUGGUUCACGCCCGAUUUCGUUUGAUCUCGGAAGCUAAGAUAGGUUGGCCCUGGUUAGUACUUGGAUGGGAGACCGCCUGGGAAUACCAGGUGCUGUAAGCU
RNAcentral lists this ribosomal RNA (117 nucleotides) under Scophthalmus maximus (turbot). The record is from RNAcentral. Lineage: Eukaryota; Metazoa; Chordata; Actinopteri; Pleuronectiformes; Scophthalmidae.